CUUGAUCGACCCCAGCCACAGCGGCAGGUCGCGGUCCUGGCCGUAGGUGGCCAGCAGUGCCUGCACCUC
This 69-nucleotide antisense RNA is filed under the name Kutzneria viridogrisea DSM 43870. Its description in RNAcentral is "Kutzneria albida DSM 43870 ASpks TB sRNA". It matches the Rfam family "ASpks TB sRNA". Lineage: Bacteria; Bacillati; Actinomycetota; Actinomycetes; Pseudonocardiales; Pseudonocardiaceae. The record is from Rfam by way of RNAcentral.